Molecule: ribosomal RNA, 294 nt
Filed under: uncultured Pseudomonas sp.
Lineage: Bacteria; Pseudomonadati; Pseudomonadota; Gammaproteobacteria; Pseudomonadales; Pseudomonadaceae
Description: partial 16S ribosomal RNA
Rfam family: Bacterial small subunit ribosomal RNA
Source: RNAcentral
GUAACGAGCGCAACCCUUGUCCUUAGUUACCAGCACGUUAUGGUGGGCACUCUAAGGAGACUGCCGGUGACAAACCGGAGGAAGGUGGGGAUGACGUCAAGUCAUCAUGGCCCUUACGGCCUGGGCUACGCACGUGCUACAAUGGUCGGUACAAAGGGUUGCCAAGCCGCGAGGUGGAGCUAAUCCCAUAAAACCGAUCGUAGUCCGGAUCGCAGUCUGCAACUCGACUGCGUGAAGUCGGAAUCGCUAGUAAUCGUGAAUCAGAAUGUCACGGUGAAUACGUUCCCGGGCCUU